This 618-nucleotide ribosomal RNA is filed under the name Triticum aestivum (bread wheat). Its description in RNAcentral is "partial small subunit ribosomal RNA". The record is from RNAcentral. Lineage: Eukaryota; Viridiplantae; Streptophyta; Magnoliopsida; Poales; Poaceae.
AUGUCAUGGGAGAGGCUGUCCGCACCGAAGGAACAAGGAGGGAUGAGAUUUAGAUAGUUCGGAAAUUUUAAUGUAGCUCUGUUGGGCAAACAUGGUUGGCGAUUCUUGACUCGGCCGGACUCUUUAUGUUCUCAAGUAUUUAGAGAUAAAUACUUCCCUGAUGGGGAUUUUAUGCAAGCGCAUGCUCCUUCAUCGGCGUCGGCAACUUGGAAAUCUAUUAUCGCAGGGCGCACGACACUGGAGAAGGGUCUCAUUAAACGUGUUGGUAGUGGCCAGAUGAUCUCCAUAUGGAACGACCGCUGGAUACCUACUACAUCGUUGCUCAAGCCCAUGGGCAGACAGGGGGCCGAUCAGCUUGAGAUGGUCUCCGACCUCAUCGAUGAUCAUACAAGAACAUGGGACAAUGAGUUGGUACGAAGGAACUUUUUUGCACCCGAUGCCGAGGCCAUACUGAAUAUACCAAUUCGGGUAGGUGGUGGUGACGACUUUCUAGCUUGGGCUCUAGAAAGGUCGGGCGAGUACUCUGUGAAAUCAGCCUAUCGCGCUCUUGUGACCCGAAACGAGCAUCCUGCUCUAAGGGAAGGGAUGGUAGUGGGAACUUCGUUGUCCGGAAAAUAG